This is a long non-coding RNA of Canis lupus familiaris (dog), 1171 nucleotides long. RefSeq lists it as uncharacterized. The record is from RefSeq and is a predicted model, not a curated record. The transcript is spliced from 6 exons. NCBI's taxonomy places the organism in Eukaryota, Metazoa, Chordata, Mammalia, Carnivora, Canidae.
UAGUGCCAAAUGCUGCCAAGAGGUCAAAGGAUAAAGUACUAAGAAAAGAGACUGAAACCAAAAAGGAGACCAAAAAAGGACCCAGGGUCAGAGGAACGCUUCUCCACCCCUGACUACAAGUAGAAUCAGAGACACAAACUGAAGAGUGAAAUGAGACAAAGCCUGCUUAAGUACAUCAGUCUUUAGUCUCCAUUCAGAUAGACAAUUUCCUGUGAGUCUGCAAAGAGGAAGUGAAUAGGAACUGUUGAAAUGAGAUGCUGAAAGUGGGCACAGGAACACCUGCCACUAAUCUACCUCACCAAGAUAAGGGACAGAUUAGACUCCUAUCAAGUGUUUUGAGUUCUCUGGCAUUGUAGUAGAUCCGAUACUGCUCUUUCAGCCUGGAAGAGGAACAGUUCUUAGCAUUUGUUGAACUCCACAACAUUCCUGUGAGUUUUAACUUCAGAUAUGGUGAAUAUCAAAAGUUCCUUGGAGUCCUCAAUACUUUGUAGUAAGUAGCAUAAAGAACUCCAGAGACCAGAAGUUUGAAGACUACUGCUGCACAGCAUGGAAUCUAGAAGAAGAGAAGCCCAAAGAGCAGGUGGUACAGCUGCAUCAUUUUCCAGGUGAGAGGGUGCCAUGAGAAACGGCCAUGAAUCUCCCAGACUUCUCAGCAAGAAAACUGAUGCCAAGGGAAAGAAUACCCACAGGUACAAUAGGGAAAGGAACUAAAGAAUGCAUAAGAAGACUGUCAGCACCUACUCAGCAUCAUUUAUUGAGUAUCUACUCUAUGGUGGAUGACAGAGGCCCUGUGUUAGCACAGGCAGACAUAGUACACUCUAACUGUGCAUUAAAAAUUUAACAGAUAUUAAAUUGGAUCCAAAAAAAAGUGUUGGCUCCUCUUUAAAUUCCUUCUAAUCUGUCAACGUCUUUCUGAAACUGAUGCACACCCUCCUUUAAUAAACAUGGAAUCACCACCACCUGCUGGAAUGCAGCUGAGCUUGGCUGGAGCAUACACUUAACAUCUCUGAUGCUGCAUGCAUGAGGGAGACAGCUUUUCCUGCCUGGAGCCCUAGGGGAAGGCUAUGACCCCAGAUUCCAGUAGUCAAAAAGCAAAGGGGAUCUUCAUACAUAGAAAACCACAAAAUAGAUCUCUUGAUUUGUUUGUAAAUUUAGAAAGAUAGAAAUCACA